Molecule: non-coding RNA, 436 nt
Organism: Cervus elaphus (red deer)
Lineage: Eukaryota; Metazoa; Chordata; Mammalia; Artiodactyla; Cervidae
Source: the annotation of a RefSeq genome assembly
UUCGCUGCCUGACCUGCCUGCCACUUAUACUGGGAACCCAGUCCAGCUCACCGUCCCAGGCAUGAUGCGGGUCCCAGCACUGCUUCUGGUUUUCCUGGCUCCUGUCACGCGGGUGUCUUCCAACACGGAAGGGGAGAAGAUGUCAAUCACUAAGGCGACUGGGUCGUCUGUUGAAAUCAUUUGUGAUCUUAUUACCCAAACCCUCAAAUAUAUCCACUGGUACAAGUACCAGGAGGGCACAGCUCCCCAACGCCUUCUUUACUACGACAUCUCCUACUCAAAGGUUACGUUGGAAUCAGGAGUCAGUGAAGGGAAGUACAAAGUUUAUAAAGAGAAGAGCUAUACUUUUGCAAUCUCAAACCUGCAAGAAAGUGAUUCUGGAAUGUACUACUGUGCUGCCUGGGAGAAGCACGUUGUGUGACAGCGCAGGUUGGAA